This 461-nucleotide ribosomal RNA is filed under the name uncultured bacterium. RNAcentral's name for it is "partial 16S ribosomal RNA". It matches the Rfam family "Bacterial small subunit ribosomal RNA", at positions 338 to 795 of the family's 1533-position model. The record is from RNAcentral.
CCUACGGGUGGCAGCAGUGAGGAAUAUUGGUCAAUGGGCGAGAGCCUGAACCAGCCAAGUCGCGUGAAGGAUGACGGCCCUACGGGUUGUAAACUUCUUUUGUCAGGGAGCAAUUGAGUCCACGUGUGGGCGUAGCGAGAGUACCUGAAGAAAAAGCAUCGGCUAACUCCGUGCCAGCAGCCGCGGUAAUACGGAGGAUGCAAGCGUUAUCCGGAUUUAUUGGGUUUAAAGGGAGCGUAGAUGGGUUGUUAAGUCAGUUGUGAAAGUUUGCGGCUCAACCGUAAAAUUGCAAUUGAUACUGGCAGCCUAGAGUACAGUUGAGGUAGGCGGAAUUCGUGGUGUAGCGGUGAAAUGCUUAGAUAUCACGAAGAACUCCGAUUGCGAAGGCAGCUUACCAAACUGCCACUGACAUUGAUGCUCGAAAGUGUGGGGAUCAAACAGGAUUAGAUACCCGAGUAGUC